ACGGCGUAGUCAAAUCGGGUAAACAUCUCGUGCAGUCAAUAAAAAAUAAGAAUUAAAUCGAAUGUCAUUUGAAUAUCGCGCGAAAAUAACCGUUUCUGAAAUGGCGGAAAAUGGAGAGGUUUACAAGAAAUCCUUUAACGGGACGUGCACCCUCGGGGUGAACAAAAAGGUGAAGAGUUCCAUCGCCCAAAGGGCAGAGGCGUACAUGCAAGCAGUUAGCAAAAGCCAAGGAUUGCCGGAAAAAGUGACUGUCACAAACCAAAAACCUGCCUUUAGGCUGGAGUCGAUGUCCAGGGUGGCCGCCAUUCCCAUCGUGGAGUCAGGAAUCGGCGUUACGGAGAAGAUUUAUCACACGAUAAAGGAGUCCAACCCGAUCUUUCGCUGGUACUUAUCGAUGGGCGAGUACUCGUUGACUAAGGGCGCGCAGUUGGCGCGGCCGGCCGUCAUGCUGUUCGAGACGCCCAUCCACCAGCUCGACAAGUUCCUCUGCAAGUCCCUGGACAUCGUCGGCGAGCGGGUGCCCUCGAUCUACCUGCCUCCGCAGGAUAUGUACUCCGAAACCCGGCGCUUCGUGCUCCGCCGCGCGGACUCCGUGAAGCAGCUGGGGACAGCCGUGCUGGAUUCGCGCGUGACCGCGGUGACCGCCACCGCGCUGGACCGCGCGCUCACCACCGCAGACAAGUACGUCGACAAGUACCUGCCGCCUGACAACCAGGACGCCAAUGACGUGGCGAUCGUGGUGACGGGCGCGGAAGGCUCGGAGGGCGAGGCGGAAGGCGGACGCGCGUGCGCGGCGGCGGCGGUGCAGCACGGCGCGCGCCUGCGCAGGAAGCUGCAGCGCCGGCUCACGCGCCAGGCGCUGGCCGAGGCCAAGGCCAUCAAGGAGCAGAUACACGUGCUCGUCUAUGUUGCUGAGCUGGUGGCAACCGACCCAGCCCUUGCAUGGAAGAAGGCCAAAGAGCUGUACUCGUCGCUGAGCCAGCCCGAGCCGGAGAACCAGGCCCGACCUGAAACUGUUGAGGAGAUGCUGGUGCUGCUGUCCCGCGAGACCGCGCGCAAGCUCGUGCACCUCGUCAACUACACGCACACUGACUUGCCCAGGAAUGUGCGCCAAGGCCUGUCGAUGAUCACGAGGCACCUGUCGUCCGCCGCCGACGCGCUGCUCAAGGUAGUGACCAGGCGCGCCGCCGUCGCCCCCGCGCUCCUGCACCGCGCCUUCGCCCUGCAUCUAUCCAUCAUCGCACCCCAGCCCAACGGUGCCGGUGGAGGCGGCGCUGACUGAGAUGCGCGGCUGGCGCUCCCGCCUGGCGGCGCUGCUGCAGCAGCUCAAGCAAACCUCGCACUCAUAUUUGGAACACCUCGCCGUAUUUCUGGCAGGCAACGAGGAGCGGGAGAAGAUCGCCCCGCGCUCCACGUACGAGGCGCGCGACGACCUCGCCGCCAUUAAUGGAGUCAAUUGAUAUAUUUAAUUACUAUUAUUAAGCCACUGUCGACGGAUCCAGGUUCUUUUUUCUAACCGUCAUUCGCAUCUUUAGGCGUUUAUCAUUACAAGUAAAGACUGUUUUAACGCGCUAAUAUUUCGAGCAAUCAGUUUUUAUCAAGAUAAUUGACAUUCUUAAAAAAACUCGCUUGUUUUGAUUUCAAUAACUUAUCUUCACUGAUUACAGUGGUUUUGGCCGACGAAUUAAUUUAUUUAUAGAGUUGUUAUUGAAUCACGAUUGCAGAUCCUGGAUUCGUAUUUUUGUUAUUUGAACAAGUUACACAAUAUCAUUAAAGUGACAUCACUGUAGCGCCUAAGAAUGGAUUUUUAUAAAAAGUAGAUUCAACCGAGGACAUAAAAUAGUCCCUUGUCGCACUCCCUAUUCGUUUAUUUGGAAGAAAAUCUCUGCCUUAAAGUU
Molecule: RNA transcript, 1898 nt
Organism: Ostrinia furnacalis (Asian corn borer)
Lineage: Eukaryota; Metazoa; Arthropoda; Insecta; Lepidoptera; Crambidae
Gene: Lsd-1
Gene name: lipid storage droplet-1
Exons: 9
Source: RefSeq, a predicted model, not a curated record